AUAUAUAAUGAACUCUCAGGAGAAGUCACUAUUUGGACACUUUUCCAUAUGUUUGAUUUUUCAGAAAUUGGAAAAGCACAGGUUGUUUUACACAUGUUUUCUUUUACCAUUAAUGCAUGCUAAUUAUUGUUUGAUUAUUCUGUUCUGUGGUGCGGUGAAUACUUUUUACGAUCAAAACAAAUUACUUGGGUCCUUUAUUAUUAUUAUUAUUUAAGUUAUAAUUUUGUUUUUUGUCUUUCUUUUUUUAAAGGAAUAUUACUAUGCCUGAAAAUGAGCAAAGUCAAAACUGAAAGAGCUUCUUCAGAGCUUUGGAAGGUUGCGGGUUUAGCUGUUGUUUGUGUUAUAUGUUUCACCUCUAAUGCUUUUGUGGCUUUGUUAACUGACAUUCCUGUAAGUUCCUAUCUAUACGGCAUGUAAUGCCAUUCAUUUUUCAUUCAAACAUCUAACUCGGUCUAAUAGAUCUCUAGCAGUUCAUUUCUCGUAAUGCCAUUCAUUUGCACUUUGGAAUUGGCACAAAUGGGAAUCUUCAAUUUGUUGUGUUUUGAUUAUUUAAAAAUUUUCCAAGAGUUUCUUUUCUUGAUAGGCUUGUUUGAUUUUUCUAUAAAUUUUUUGGUUUACCUUGUUCUUUCUAUUGAUAUUUUUUUUUCUUUAUGCUCUAGGCGGUGUGUUUUGCUUUAAUGGGCAUUGGCAGCUCAUUUCAUGCUCAAGAAACUGCUAUGAGUGGGUAAUUAAAGAGUCGAGUGUGGUAAAUACUGUUCUUUUCCUGUGUACUGUGUUAUGCUUGGGGUCAUUUGGGACAUGUUACUUUCUGAUUCUUUUGAGAUCUGCAUGUAAAAGCCUCAACUUAUCUAUUUGCAUACAUUUGUUGAAAACAUCAGGUUCUGGCCUUCGGGUACUAUGUGACUUCAGGCCAUCAACUACAGAGGUUAACAUAACAAUAAAGCUUUUACUUGUGUUGCUUUUCUCGACAGUGGAGUUUUGUUGUCUCAGUUCACGUUUUGGUGGCAUGAUAGACAUGGAAUCUGUCGAGGACGUGGCUAAUAUUUCUAAUGUGUCUGGGAUUACUACCCAUUCUUUGCAACUGUACAGUCAUUGCUGACCACUAGACCGUCUCCCUGCAACUGUACAGUCAUUGCAACUGUUGUUUAUUUCUUUGUGUUGAAAGUAGUAACUUUUAACUAUGUUGAAUAUUUAAGACUCCUUGAAUACUUAAAGAACAUUUUGUUGUUGAUGACAGUGUUGAAUGUUUUAAACUAAUUUGUGGAUUGUUAAUACAAUGUUGAAUGUUUUUA
This is a long non-coding RNA of Humulus lupulus (European hop), 1292 nucleotides long. RefSeq lists it as uncharacterized. The record is from RefSeq and is a predicted model, not a curated record. The transcript has 2 exons. NCBI's taxonomy places the organism in Eukaryota, Viridiplantae, Streptophyta, Magnoliopsida, Rosales, Cannabaceae.